GGGGUUGUGGCUCAGUGGUAGAGCACUUGCCUAGCAUGCAUGAGGCACUGGGUUCAAACCCCAGCACCACA
RNAcentral lists this transfer RNA (71 nucleotides) under Marmota monax (woodchuck). Its description in RNAcentral is "tRNA.Ala". It matches the Rfam family "tRNA". From Rfam's summary of the family: Transfer RNA (tRNA) molecules are approximately 80 nucleotides in length. Their secondary structure includes four short double-helical elements and three loops (D, anti-codon, and T loops). Lineage: Eukaryota; Metazoa; Chordata; Mammalia; Rodentia; Sciuridae. The record is from RNAcentral.